GUGCAUGAGGAGAUGGGCAGGAGUGCCGCGCCCGGCAGACUCCAGGGAGAUGCCAAGAGACAGGAGCAACUCCCAUUUCUGCGUCGGGAAACCUUGGUUGGUGGGGUGCCUGUGUGCGAUUUUUCAAAGCAUCGGCUUAAACCCGGGGUUGAUGCGUCGGGAACUGUUCGUGGUGUUGCAAAACGCUCGUAAUGUACAUUGGAAAUAAAAGCAUCGCGCGGUUUCCCACAGGUCGUUCCCGUCUCGCAGAGGCUGCAAGGGGCGCAGAGUCACGGCCGGCGCUGUGCCUGUCUGGAUGCCCUGCUCAGCAAGAGGAAAUGAGAAUGGAGUGCUCCUGCAUCCCUUCCAAAUCCAAGGCAAAUAUAAAGUCUGACCUUGUGCAAGUUGUGCCAUGUUCAGAGACAGGAGACAUGGACAUGAAUCCUGUGGGGAUGAGCCCAGGCAGCUCCAUUCUGGUUUUGUGCCCUUCACCAAAGGACUGAAGAUGUGGGCAUUGCAGAUCUGAAUUUUCAGAGCAAGCCAGAGCAGUCCUGUGAAAAAACAAGUUCCUAGACUUUGAG
This is a long non-coding RNA of Myiozetetes cayanensis, 560 nucleotides long. RefSeq lists it as uncharacterized. The record is from RefSeq and is a predicted model, not a curated record. Lineage: Eukaryota; Metazoa; Chordata; Aves; Passeriformes; Tyrannidae. The transcript is spliced from 3 exons.